Ribosomal RNA from Fukomys damarensis (Damara mole-rat), 113 nucleotides. Lineage: Eukaryota; Metazoa; Chordata; Mammalia; Rodentia; Bathyergidae. The record is from Ensembl.
AUCUACAGCCAUACCAUCCUGAAUGCUCCUAAUCUCAGAAACUAAGCAGGAUCAGGCCUGGUUAGUACUUGGAUGGGAGACUAAAAUGGAAUUUUACCCAAGUGCCUUUAAUC